This 480-nucleotide ribosomal RNA is filed under the name uncultured bacterium. Its description in RNAcentral is "partial 16S ribosomal RNA". It matches the Rfam family "Bacterial small subunit ribosomal RNA", at positions 28 to 507 of the family's 1533-position model. The record is from RNAcentral.
GACGAACGCUGGCGGCGCGCUUAACACAUGCAAGUCGAGCGAUGAAACUUUAACAGCCCCCUUCGGGGCGAAGAUAAAGUGGAUUAGCGGCGGACGGGUGAGUAACACGUGAGUAACCUGCCUUAAACAUUGGGAUAGCCUCGGGAAACCGGGAUUAAUACCAAAUAAAAUCAUAAUGACACAUGUCAUAACGAUCAAAACUCCGGUGGUCUAAGAUGGACUCGCGUCCCAUUAGCUAGUUGGUAGAGUAAAAGCCUACCAAGGCGACGAUGGGUAGCCGGCCUGAGAGGGUGAACGGCCACAUUGGAACUGAGAAACGGUCCAAACUCCUACGGGAGGCAGCAGUGGGGAAUAUUGCACAAUGGAGGGAACUCUGAUGCAGCGACGCCGCGUGAACGAAGAAGGCUUUCGAGUCGUAAAGUUCUUUUAUAUGGGAAGAUAAUGACGGUACCAUAAGAAAAAGCCCCGGCUAACUACGUG